RNAcentral lists this ribosomal RNA (253 nucleotides) under uncultured bacterium. RNAcentral describes it as "partial 16S ribosomal RNA". It matches the Rfam family "Bacterial small subunit ribosomal RNA", at positions 524 to 776 of the family's 1533-position model. The record is from RNAcentral.
UACGGGGGGGGCAAGCGUUGUUCGGAAUUACUGGGCGUAAAGGGCUCGUAGGCGGCCAACUAAGUCGGACGUGAAAUCCCCAGGCUCAACCUGGGAACUGCGUCCGAUACUGGAUGGCUUGAAUCCGGGAGAGGGAUGCAGAAUUCCAGGUGUAGCGGUGAAAUGUGUAGAGAUCGGGAGGAACACCGGUGGCGAAGGCGGGUCUCUGGGCAUUUCCUGACGCUGAGGCGCGAAAGCGUGGGGAGCAAACGGG